GUGGGGAAUCUUGCGCAAUGGGCGAAAGCCUGACGCAGCCAUGCCGCGUGAAUGAUGAAGGUCUUAGGAUUGUAAAAUUCUUUCACCGGGGACGAUAAUGACGGUACCCGGAGAAGAAGCCCCGGCUAACUUCGUGCCAGCAGCCGCGGUAAUACGAAGGGGGCUAGCGUUGCUCGGAAUUACUGGGCGUAAAGGGCGCGUAGGCGGACAGUUUAGUCAGAGGUGAAAGCCCAGGGCUCAACCUUGGAAUUGCCUUUGAUACUGGCUGUCUUGAGUACGGGAGAGGUGAGUGGAACUCCGAGUGUAGAGGUGAAAUUCGUAGAUAUUCGGAAGAACACCAGUGGCGAAGGCGACUCACUGGCUCGUUACUGACGCUGAGGCGCGAAAGCGUGGGGAGCAAACAGGAUUAGAAACCCCAGUAGUCC
RNAcentral lists this ribosomal RNA (425 nucleotides) under uncultured bacterium. RNAcentral describes it as "partial 16S ribosomal RNA". It matches the Rfam family "Bacterial small subunit ribosomal RNA", at positions 354 to 796 of the family's 1533-position model. The record is from RNAcentral.